This 350-nucleotide ribosomal RNA is filed under the name uncultured soil bacterium. RNAcentral's name for it is "bacterial SSU rRNA". It matches the Rfam family "Bacterial small subunit ribosomal RNA", at positions 94 to 482 of the family's 1533-position model. The record is from RNAcentral.
ACCGGCGUACGGGUGAGUAACACGUGGGUAACCUGCCCUUGAGAUCGGGAUAACCCGUCGAAAGACGGAUUAAUACCGGAUAAGACCACGUUCGCAAAAGGCGCACUCAUGGAGGGGCCCGCGACCUAUCAGCUAGUUGGUGAGGUAACGGCUCACCAAGGCUAAGACGGGUAGCUGGUCUGAGAGGAUGGUCAGCCACACUGGGACUGAGACACGGCCCAGAGUCCUACGGGAUGCAGCAGUCAGGAAUAUUGCGCAAUGGAGGAAACUCUGACGCAGCGACGCCGCGUGGGUGAUGAAGGCCUUCGGGUCGUAAAGCCCUGUCGGAGGGGAAGAAUGACGGUACCCUC